GCAGAUGGACCCGCGGCGCAUUAGCUAGUUGGUGAGGUAACGGCUCACCAAGGCGACGAUGCGUAGCCGACCUGAGAGGGUGAUCGGCCACACUGGGACUGAGACACGGCCCAGACUCCUACGGGAGGCAGCAGUAGGGAAUCUUCCGCAAUGGACGAAAGUCUGACGGAGCAACGCCGCGUGAGUGAUGAAGGUUUUCGGAUCGUAAAACUCUGUUGUUAGGGAAGAACAAGUACCGUUCGAAUAGGGCGGUACCUUGACGGUACCUAACCAGAAAGCCACGGCUAACUACGUGCCAGCAGCCGCGGUAAUACGUAGGUGGCAAGCGUUGUCCGGAAUUAUUGGGCGUAAAGCGCGCGCAGGCGGUUUCUUAAGUCUGAUGUGAAAGCCCCCGGCUCAACCGGGGAGGGUCAUUGGAAACUGGGGAACUUGAGUGCAGAAGAGGAGAGUGGAAUUCCACGUGUAGCGGUGAAAUGCGUAGAGAUGUGGAGGAACACCAGUGGCGAAGGCGACUCUCUGGUCUGUAACUGACGCUGAGGCGCGAAAGCGUGGGGAGCGAACAGGAUUAGAUACCCUGGUAGUCCACGCCGUAAACGAUGAGUGCUAAGUGUUAGAGGGUUUCCGCCCUUUAGUGCUGCAGCAAACGCAUUAAGCACUCCGCCUGGGGAGUACGGUCCGCAAGACUGAAACCUCAAAGAAUUGACGGGGGCCCGCACAAGCGGUGGAGCAUGUGGUUAAUUCGAGCAACCGCGAAGAACCUAACAGUCUGACAUCUUCUGCAACCCUAAGAGAUAGGGCUUCCC
This 803-nucleotide ribosomal RNA is filed under the name Bacillus licheniformis. RNAcentral describes it as "bacterial SSU rRNA". It matches the Rfam family "Bacterial small subunit ribosomal RNA", at positions 221 to 1018 of the family's 1533-position model. Lineage: Bacteria; Bacillati; Bacillota; Bacilli; Caryophanales; Bacillaceae. The record is from RNAcentral.